AGAGUUUGAUCAUGGCUCAGGAUGAACGCUGGCGGCGUGCCUAACACAUGCAAGUCGAGCGAUUCUCUUCGGAGAAGAGCGGCGGACGGGUGAGUAACGCGUGGGUAACCUGCCUCAUACACAUGGAUAACAUACCGAAAGGUAUGCUAAUACAAGAUGAUGUAAGAGAUUCGCAUGGAUUUCUUAUCAAAGCUCCGGCGGUAUGAGAUGGACCCGCGUCUGAUUAGCUAGUUGGUAAGGUAACGGCUUACCAAGGCGACGAUCAGUAGCCGACCUGAGAGGGUGAUCGGCCACAUUGGAACUGAGACACGGUCCAAACUCCUACGGGAGGCAGCAGUGGGGAAUAUUGCACAAUGGGCGAAAGCCUGAUGCAGCAACGCCGCGUGAGCGAUGAAGGCCUUCGGGUCGUAAAGCUCUGUCCUCAAGGAAGAUAAUGACGGUACUUGAGGAGGAAGCCCCGGCUAACUACGUGCCAGCAGCCGCGGUAAUACGUAGGGGGCUAGCGUUAUCCGGAUUUACUGGGCGUAAAGGGUGCGUAGGUGGUUUCUUAAGUCAGGAGUGAAAGGCUACGGCUCAACCGUAGUAAGCUCUUGAAACUGGGAAACUUGAGUGCAGGAGAGGAAAGUGGAAUUCCUAGUGUAGCGGUGAAAUGCGUAGAUAUUAGGAGGAACACCAGUAGCGAAGGCGGCUUUCUGGACUGUAACUGACACUGAGGCACGAAAGCGUGGGGAGCAAACAGGAUUAGAUACCCUGGUAGUCCACGCCGUAAACGAUGAGUACUAGGUGUCGGGGGUUACCCCCCUCGGUGCCGCAGCUAACGCAUUAAGUACUCCGCCUGGGGAGUACGCUCGCAAGAGUGAAACUCAAAGGAAUUGACGG
Molecule: ribosomal RNA, 879 nt
Filed under: uncultured bacterium
Lineage: Bacteria
Description: bacterial SSU rRNA
Rfam family: Bacterial small subunit ribosomal RNA
Source: RNAcentral